RNAcentral lists this ribosomal RNA (4200 nucleotides) under Triticum aestivum (bread wheat). RNAcentral's name for it is "partial small subunit ribosomal RNA". Lineage: Eukaryota; Viridiplantae; Streptophyta; Magnoliopsida; Poales; Poaceae. The record is from RNAcentral.
GAGGGUAAGCAGGAAAGAGAGACCUAGGGGAGAAGAGAGGGUGCUAGGAGAGAGAGAAGGGGUUGACGGCGGCGGUGGUAGCAGCGGACCAUGGCCGGUCAAGGCCGCUUCAGGCAGUGGUAGGUCGUGUAGGUGCUCCAGUAGAACACUGCGACGAGGAAGAGGUGGUGCAACUAGGUAGCGCGGCGAGGAGAUGCUCGCCGGGGCCGAUUGGGAUCGUGGCGCCAGUAGCCACGUGAUGUGCCGCAGCGGUACCUGCGGCCGCGACGCGGACGCCGAGGCUAGCCAGGAGCGACUGUGGCGGAUUCAGGAGGGCGUGACGUAGCGGAGGACCAGCAACAAGGUCCGCGGAGGUAGCUGACCUCCUUGCUACCCGGGAGCAGGAACACGGUCACGCGCAGGCACUUCCUUUGUUUGGCACUACACGGCGGAGUCUAGUUGACACACUUCCGUCGCCCCCUACCUAGUGUUCCCCUCUCCACGUCAGGAGGUCUCGACAACCUAGGGUUUUAACCUUCUACUACCGCUAUACAACGCUCCUACUCACGAAGAGGUAAAAGACAAGACAUACACCACCAGCUGCAAACAUGGAGCGAGCCCGAUUAAAGAAACCACGUGCCCGAAAGUCUAGAUUCCAAGUGACCGUGUGUUCUCAGUGAACCAACAAACUACGUAAGCACGAGCAGCCGCCCUGCCACGUUCCGCGUUGAGGCUACGCCAAGGAGUGGCCAACCUGCCGAAAGUCCGCGUUGGGGCCACGAGUGACUCAUGACGGAGCCGAUGUUGGAGGGUGCCACUCCAUUUUUUGCUGAUGCUAGCCUAAGGGACCGAGGAGUCGCUAAACCCGGAGGACCGGCAAUCUAAGCAAACGAACUACACUAAGGUCGGCGGCCUAGCUCGUCACCCUACUGGACGCGGCAGCCUAACUAAGCAACGAGGACAGCGUUACUUUCAGUGGCAAAGGGACCCAAAAGCGAAUGAGGCGGCAAAACUCGCAUAAAGCGACCGCACACCCCAAAGGCCGCACACCCGACGGAACAAGUCACUGGCACCGAUACACAAAACCGACACACCGGGCACCCCGCGCACCCGACCGUUUAUAGAACACGGUGGCGUUCUUUAUUGCAUGGGGGUGUCUCCCAUAAAACCAGAAAAGUGCAAAACCGGAACACGCACCACCUGCCACCAACCGGGCACGCACCUACUCCACCCCCUCCCGUGGUCGAACGGGAAAGCACGAGGGUAGGCGGGAAAGAGAGACUUAGGGGAGAAGAGAGUGUGCUGGGAGAGAGAGCACAACCCCGCUACUACUAAUCGGCACCGACCUUUUUUCACACGGAAACUCGUUGGCUCCGUGGACACCCAUAGUUCAACUUAGGAGGGAGAACAGAGAUCUUAGGAAAAACUAGUACACUAUGAACAACGAGACAGGAACCUACCAGUAAGAACAACUCACUAUUGGUCCCGUUGAGGUGACAUAUUUGUCUAACUAGACCACUAUUCUCUGCCGCCAUCCAAUAUACUAGCUCCGUUCAGUCUAGACUCGGGUGAUACGUUACUUGGGACCUGGGAAAAUAAACAUAAAUUUCCACAACGAAUAAAUACGAGGUGACGAAUAUCAGCAGAAUACAUUUCUAAAGAAGAGAGAGUAUGGAAAUAACGUAUGCUCAAGAACUAGAAAAUAACAAACAACAACCAGGAACUAAAUUAGACCAAUUCUCAUUCAACAUGAAACAAUAUGAUCUUUCUGAGCGAGGGUUGUUCAAUAGCCUCGGCGAGAAUAACGGAACUCAAACAUACCAUUUUUAUACGGAACCGUACUCCCACGGCCAGGGUUGUAAAACCAGUCCGCUUAUGAUCUUUUUGAGCGUCCAAGCCGGGACCUCCAAGAGUCCGAGCUGAGGCUCUCGACGAGCGAAAGGCUCCUCAGGGACCACGUAGCGACGGGCUGGGGAAAAAAACGAAGUUAAAACCAACCCGAAGUCUAAGCUAGCACCCAACUGGACCCAGACCCACACGAAGGAAGAGAAACACAAACACGAUGUCCGCUCCUAACACGAGCCUCUCCUGGGUGUGCUGCGAGGCGAACGGCAGCACCACGUGGGGAAAACUUUAAAGGGCUCUAUCGACUAACCACGAUGUACUAUGUCACCACAAGAGGUUGUAGAAGGUACAGGUAUUUGAUACCAAAUAAACAACCAGAUUAAUAGAGAACGAAUAGUCAUGCCUCUGAUGUUAAACAAGUCAGCAUUUAUUCUACAGAUUGAGGUUCAACUUCAUAACAGUCUGAAAUAAAAAACAUCACAAACUAUUUGGCCACCAAAUAUCAUGGUACCCUUAAACAGAGUAUGCAUCAUACACCAAGGAAUAUUUUUAUACGGUUAGCACAACUUUGUUCAUUAAAUAGAUCGAUGUGUACGGGAAAGACUACGUAACGCCCAAACGAUAGUUUGAGAGUUUUUCUUUCUUGUUGAAAUAAAACAAAACAACCCUUUGGAAAGACAUCAGUGAUGGAACUGUCUCUGUUGAUACAUUGGCUCCUAUAUAAACCACCCAAAAGUCCGUUUCGAAUCGCCUAUAAAAAUAUCCAAGUCGCGAACGAAAUACGAAACUAUUGAAAUUUAAGGAAAACAAGAAACCUAAUAGUAUCGUAUGAGCAGAGAAGAUUAGGAUCGUUCCCGUAAGAAGUACAAAUGUCUAUCAAACCGCGAGAGUACCAAGAAAAGCUCUCUAACAAGAAGGCUCGUAAUAAACCAUUGGUAGAUGACAUCUAGUAGAUGACGGGAAUACUGGACUCGGGCGUCCUUAGCUACGACGACGCACUGCACCUCGGGUACGGGCUGGGGCUGCUGCCGCCAGCUGGUGUUGGAGGGAGAGGCCUCUUCGAGUCCGACGGUGGUGUGUUUCCCUCUCCUCGGGUUCUACUUAGAUAGGGCGGAAUGACAGUUACUGGGUUGCUGUCUCUGUCGAUGAAGCCCGGAUCCACUCAUCGGCGGUCGGGACGUAAAGCUCGGAUCCAUUGGUUCAAACACAGAUGAAGAUACUAAUCAACGAAUACGAAGUACCAGAAACACUUUGUGUUGUACUACGGAACAACCAAGGACCCGUUCCGGAAAACCCUGGCUAGAGAGAUCGCAAUUUCUUUCGUUCUAACUACGAGACAAAAGAGAUAAAAACAACCCAACCUUAUCUCACCCAAUGGCUAGGGUAUACGGUCAUAUAUCCUUCUUGUUUUUUUGAAAUCAACUAAAUGGAAAAUUGGAUUUAAAUAUAUCCUUUGAAUAUGAUUGGAAAUAGAGUCAAUCAACGUGGUCAAACGUACAUAAAGUCAACACCGAGGAAAUAAGAUUCAAUCGACGUAGUAGAACGUCAAUAAUCACAAGAAGGUACGGAUGAAUGUACUCACACAGUGAAUAUAACAAGUACCACAUACGGUUGACUAGUAACAUGUUGGUAACAACGGAUAGUUAUUUAAAACCCCAUUACCUCUGUAACUAGCAGAAAGAGCCUGUUAUAUACCAAACUGAAGAACAACAAUGUAAAAACAAACGCAGUCUUAAUAUUGUACAUAAACCAAUAACGUUGUCCAUCGAAUAAAUGGGGGAUUAGGGGAAAUGAAAACAAACUAUGACACAUGUAUAGUUACAAAUCAGUGAACUUAAGUCUUGUUUCUAUACCAUGUGGCCUGUGCUUUCUUUCGUCAUCUAUCUAUAUGUCUAAGUCUACUAUAUCAAAGACAUCUACGCUUCGUGCCUUCAAGAUCCAUUUUCACUUAGACAAUCCCCCCUUUUGCUUCCGAACACACGGAUAAUCAAUAAAAAAAACAAAAUAGUAACAGCCGUGGAAUAGAUAGACAUUGUACACACUGGACACGUUGACGUUUUCAUAACCCGUUAUUUUUAAGACACAUUGUGUACAAAACAUACGUGAGACGGAUACGAAUCAUAUCUUUGAUACGUACCUACAAUGAGAGAAAAAACACCGGAACACAUCUAACAUUUAUUUAAUAGUGCUUGUUAACUCGGAAAGUGAAAAAGACAUCGGAUGGCUCGGAAACGCCAUAACGAAAGUAACAUAUUUGCAUACUUUAUGUUUUGCAGAGUAUGGUCCAACCUAUACUGACCCCGCCCACCCCACGCCGUUCAGCGUGAAGGAUAGAUCAUAUGUAAUCUGAUCGGUGUCACCCUCAUUGAAGUCGUC